Molecule: long non-coding RNA, 148 nt
Organism: Sardina pilchardus (European sardine)
Lineage: Eukaryota; Metazoa; Chordata; Actinopteri; Clupeiformes; Clupeidae
Exons: 3
Source: RefSeq, a predicted model, not a curated record
CGAGGAACUCCCGGAGGCCCAGGAUUGCCUGGCAUGAAGGGAUACCCAGGCUUCAAUGGUCGAGAUGGAGCCAGAGGAGACCAGGGUCCUGCUGGACCCAAGGGUGACACUGGACCUGAUGCGGGAGACGGACGUCAGGGUCCUGUGG